GGGGUUUGACAUGAUAGCGAAGUCUGCAGAGAUGUAGACGCCUUUCGGGGCGCUAUGACAGGUGCUGCAUGGCUGUCGUCAGCUCGUGUCGUGAGAUGUUGGGUUAAGUCCCGCAACGAGCGCAACCCUUGCCUCUAGUUACCAGCGAGUAAUGUCGGGGACUCUAGAGGGACUGCCGGUGAUAAACUGGAGGAAGGUGGGGAUGACGUCAAGUCCUCAUGGCCCUUAUGUCUGGGGCUACACACGUGCUACAAUGGUAUGUACAAAGGGCAGCAAGCAUGCGAGUGCAAGCCAAUCCCUUAAAGCAUAUCCCAGUCCGGAUUGGAGUCUGCAACUCGACUCCAUGAAGUUGGAAUCGCUAGUAAUCGUGGAUCAGCAUGCCACGGUGAAUACGUUCCCGGGCCU
Molecule: ribosomal RNA, 405 nt
Filed under: uncultured bacterium
Lineage: Bacteria
Description: bacterial SSU rRNA
Rfam family: Bacterial small subunit ribosomal RNA
Source: RNAcentral